CAGAAACACCCACUGAAUGCAAAUGACAGCACCAGAGGGAGGUCUCUGAGAGGGGCAGCAGGAUUCUCUUGGCUCAGUGCAACAAGGCCAGGCGUCCCAUGAAGCAACUUUAAAGCGUCGCCGGGAAGAGGAGAAAGAGGGGAGUUAGAGGAUGCGGCCCAUCUUCAUUCUGCAAGGGAAUCUGGUGGCCACAUGUAUCCCCAUCCUCUGGCUUGAUGAUGAUGAUGAAAGAUGUCAUGCUAGGAAGCUCUGGAGAUCAGAGACACGCGGACCACAUACCGGCAUUUCAACACGAGAACACGGCUCCCAGCGCCUGCCGAACCUCGGAAUUUGCACCUUGUAACACUAGAAAUGGACAUCUGUAGACGAAAGAAAAACCCUCGUGUACACAGGGAUUUUAUGGAGCCGAGGGGGGCUCUUUCAUCCCUCCAACACUGCAAGGGCAGUCCUGCUGCCAACAGUUCCCUGUUGGAUAUGAAUUGCGAGUUCAGCCACGCUGGUGUGUGUGUGCAUGCCUACGUGCGUGGGUGCACACGCGCGUUGUUCGGGGAUUAGAGGUCUCUUCCAGGCUCAACAACAAAGGGUGGCACAUGGCAGCUAUUGUCCCCGCUUAGCCAGGGUGAAGUCGGGGGAGGUCACAGCUGUCCUGACCAUAUUUAGCUCUCAGAACAGGAUUAAUUUAGUUUAGCUUUUUCUUUUCUUUCCUUUUCUUUCUUUUUGUUCUUUAUUUUUUUUCCUCUCCGAGGAAUAAAUUGCUGGCUGGUUAGCAAGAAUGCAAGUCACAAGUUUCGGGACCAAUGCGGUGGUUGCUCAUCCCAUUGAAAGCCUCAGAAACUGGCUCUGUCUCAGGAAAAGGGGAACCACACGGUGUCCUCCUGGGCAGUCUGGCUCGCCAGUCGUGGUUGAUAAUCACAGAACCAGAGAACCCUUUGAGUUGGAAGGGACCCUUAAAGACCAUCUGCCCCAACCCCCCUGCAAUGAACAGGGACACCCACCCCAUUUCAAACUGGAUGUGCCUGCAGGGAUGGGGCAUCCUCCUCCUCUCUGGUGGAGAUAAUCAGAGAGCCAUUUCACACAAAGUCAUGGAACUUGGGUUGGACCCAAGCAAUCACAGCUAUCUUCUCCCGACCUGCUUCCAAACAAUUCCUCCUAUGCAAAUCUGCACUUAUAAUGAAAAUAAAAGGGAAGGAGAAAAAAGCCCCAACCCAGAGACCCUCCUUCUCCUUGCCAGAUGAGCUGUUCCUCAGAAACACCUGUCUGCUAAAUUAGAGUGGGAAUUGUGAACGCCAAGCACAGCAUAUUUUCCUUCGCCACUAAUAUAUUGGAGUUGCAUAUGGUGCCCUUGGGGAAAGGCAAUUGUUUCAAGUCAGAUUUUCAAAUCAUGAGCAAAUCCUAGGGAGAGAGAUUUGCUGAUUUACAGUGGACCUUGAGUACAUAUCACUGGGCUGUGUCUCGGAUGGGGAAAACACAGAACAGGAGCUGAAGGGACAGUGAGGACAUGCUGUGUGAUGACACCACACGAGGGUGCAGGGAGCAAAGCCAGAGGAGUGCUUUAGCUGUGCAGAAAUUGCUAUUCCUGGUGCAAAAGAAAGGGAAAUAGCAGAGAGAAGAGAGAGGUGCACAGGGGCUGCGUCCCAUCCCAGCCAUGCAGAGGGGAGUGAGGGUCCUCCUGACAGCCCUGGGGAUGGGAAUUCCUGCACAGCAGCCAUGCAGGGACACAUAGAGGCACGAUGACUUUCGGAUCGCUUCAGAAUACAUAUUAAUGCAAAUGAGAGGUAUCUAGCUAAGCGUUUUGUCAUUUGGUCCCUCCAUAGCUGGAAGAAGGGAUUGCUUCAGAUUUAUGUGCUACGUGUUGUUUUUCUUGGCAGCGCGGAGUGGCGCGGUCUCAAAAGGCUUGCAAUUUUAGGGAUACUUUCUGAUACUUAAAGAGAGACUUCUGGCUGGAGUCCACCAACUGCCUAUAGCCACAGAUACUAAAACUCCUUUCCAAUGACUGCCACUAAUCACGCAACACUUUUAUGCUUAACAUCUUGCCCUGGAGUUGACCCAGGAACUAAUGGGUCCGAUCCUUGAAUGGUUCUCCAAGUAGUGGUGCAUGGAUGAGCCCAGCAAGACCAGAGCAGCCUUUUGGGCUGCUGCAUCUAACAAACACUGCUGGGGUUCAUUGGGGAAAAAAAACAGUGUAUAUAUAAUAUAUAUGCAUACAUACAUAUAUUAUGUAUAUAUAUGCAUAUAAUAUAAAAACAUGUUGGUUGAACCUGGCUCUGUGCAAAUGCUGGCACACAGAUGAGGCAUGAAAUGAGCCAGUUAAGAGCCCGUGAUGAGAAAAUGAGUUGUCUUUUUGUUUUGUUUUCUGGAAAUCAGUGAAGCCCAUCUGGGAGUCAAAGGGAACAAAUGAAAGGCAUGUGGGAAUGAUAGCAAGAGAGCCAAGGUUGAGAGGAAUGGAAAGAAGGGCAGGUGCAGUGAAGGCACUAGGCUUAUCAUCAACGUCAUCACCAAAAAAUGGUUCAAUGGAUUAUUUUUUAGAUUUCAGCCUGUUCAUAAAAACAGGUCUAACACUUUGUAUGUCAAGUUCAUACAUUCAUUCCCCAGCUGAAGCCACCAAAGAGAAGGAAGGAAUGUGGAUGCUGCUCCCACCUGUCCCCUGCUGUGGGGAGCAAAGCGGCGCUGCUCGGCUCUGUAGGUUCGUUACCAAUCCCACUAAUUUUAUUUCUGAUUAUUUAUGUUUUUUCAUGAGCAGCCAUUAAAUGUUCAUUUGUUAAAGG
Molecule: long non-coding RNA, 2765 nt
Filed under: Gallus gallus (chicken)
Lineage: Eukaryota; Metazoa; Chordata; Aves; Galliformes; Phasianidae
Description: lncRNA (ENSGALG00010020418.1)
Source: RNAcentral